UUCAACCCAGGGAGCCUCAGUAAGGCCGGGAGACUGCCUCCCCAGGAACACUGGCUCCCUAAGGCGGCAGAGGACUCUACUGAGGUCUGAAUGUGUCCCAAGGCAGUGGCGUGAGGAGCUGCAGAGGAGAGAGCAGCCUUGAGCACAUUUUGAACCUGAAGGCAUCUGUUUCUAUUGUCUGCACCCCAGCCCCCACAUUCUUGACGGAACUCAUAACCCGGUAAUAUCCUGCAGCAGGUCCUUUAUCACCUGGAGGAGUGCCCCAGACG
Long non-coding RNA from Fukomys damarensis (Damara mole-rat), 269 nucleotides. RefSeq lists it as uncharacterized. The record is from RefSeq and is a predicted model, not a curated record. The transcript is spliced from 3 exons. Lineage: Eukaryota; Metazoa; Chordata; Mammalia; Rodentia; Bathyergidae.